Entomophthora muscae is the source of this 71-nucleotide non-coding RNA. The record is from the annotation of a GenBank genome assembly. NCBI's taxonomy places the organism in Eukaryota, Fungi, Entomophthoromycota, Entomophthoromycetes, Entomophthorales, Entomophthoraceae.
GCUUUGGUAACUCAAAGGUAGAGUAACAAAUUGAAAAUUUGUCAGUAUUGGUUCAAUUCCAAUCCAAGGCG